Molecule: ribosomal RNA, 433 nt
Filed under: uncultured bacterium
Lineage: Bacteria
Description: partial 16S ribosomal RNA
Rfam family: Bacterial small subunit ribosomal RNA
Source: RNAcentral
AACGAACGCUGGCGGCAUGCCUAACACAUGCAAGUCGAACGAGACCUUCGGGUCUAGUGGCGCACGGGUGCGUAACGCGUGGGAACCUGCCCUUAGGUUCGGAAUAACUCCCCGAAAGGGGUGCUAAUACCGGAUAAUGUCUUCGGACCAAAGAUUUAUCGCCUUUGGAUGGGCCCGCGUUGGAUUAGCUAGUUGGUAGGGUAAAAGCCUACCAAGGCGACGAUCCAUAGCUGGUCUGAGAGGAUGAUCAGCCACACUGGGACUGAGACACGGCCCAGACUCCUACGGGAAGCAGCAGUGGGGAAUAUUGGACAAUGGGCGAAAGCCUGAUCCAGCAAUGCCGCGUGAGUGAUGAAGGCCUUAGGGUUGUAAAGCUCUUUUACCCGGGAUGAUAAUGACAGUACCGGGAGAAUAGGCUCCGGCUAACUCCGUG